Leopardus geoffroyi (Geoffroy's cat) is the source of this 1260-nucleotide long non-coding RNA. RefSeq lists it as uncharacterized. The transcript is spliced from 3 exons. Lineage: Eukaryota; Metazoa; Chordata; Mammalia; Carnivora; Felidae. The record is from RefSeq and is a predicted model, not a curated record.
GCGCGGUAUUUCCAGCCUCCGUGACUCACUGAUUCCACUGGGCUAUUUGCAGCCCCGAAACUCACCAGCGCGGGGUUGGGGGUGGAGCCAGGCCAGCUUCCCAGUCUCCCUCGACCCUUACCCGGGGUCAGGCUCACCUUGGCUUCCCGACCCCAGCGAUGCCCCUCCCAGGGUCGCGCGAAGGGGGUGGGGGCUGGGGGCUGGGCCGCUGGCAGCCCGGGCUGAGAAAAGGAGAAGUUUCUCCAGAAGCGGCCAGUGGGGCCGAAUACCAUCCCCCCCCCCCCCCCCCCCCCCCCCCCCCCGGCCCCAGAACCAUCCCCCCGCCCCCGACCGAGGUUCCGGAGCUGAAGAUUUUGCAGGGGACAGAGCAGAGGCUGUCUGAGAGAGCCCUCCGACCAAGGUUUGGAUCCCGACCUCCUCAGCUUCACCCACACUGUGGCUCCGUGGAGAUCGAGACUCAGGCAGGGGGUUCAGAGGAGUUGCCGGAUUGCUGCAGCCUUCUGUCCAUGAAAAGCAGGCUGUGAGCUUCUGGAGGACUGAGUUAUGUCUGUUCUCUCUGGAUCGCCUCUGCCUAGGAGGGAUUCUGCUGGGACGAGAGGCCAUCAGCCCUCUGGUUAGGAGCAACCCGGGCUUGCCUGGGUGCCAAUUCCAACUACCCCAGUCUGUGGGGCCCGACUACACCCCUCAGCUCGUCGGACCUCACCUCCCUAAUCUGUGCUGCCUCACACUGGCUCUGCAAGGAGGCCGCUUCCCUGGCCUGGGGCAAAUGGCCAACACACGUUUGUAGAAAACCGAUAAAAUAGCCAUUGAAUAUCUAACUGGACAUUCAGCGAUCUUAAUCAGAAAGCCUUGAGCCGCGCCUACUCGGAUGAGUUGAUUCAGCAUUUCACACAACGCUGUGCCGCGUACGCCCUCACACGCACUCCAGUGACCCCGCUUCCUGCGGGGUAACACGCCUGCCCUGGGAGGCGGGGACCACCUGGUCCCUUGUAUCCCGAGGGGCACGUGAGGCUGGUUGCAGUAGCUGCUGAGGAAGUAACCGCUCCUGUUUGUAUCUGUUCAGACAUGAUACCCCGUCACCUUUCUGAGCACCUUCUGCCCCCCCCCCCCCCCCCCUUGAGAAGCAGUUUCCCUUAUUUCCCGUUUUGGAUUGCCUGGGAAUUUCCCCCACCUGGUAUCCAUGCCUCCCAGUGACCUACAGACUUGCACGAGAGUGACUUGCCUGUCGCACUGGGACAUCCUGACCCCGCUCUGGCCGGC